Molecule: ribosomal RNA, 446 nt
Filed under: uncultured bacterium
Lineage: Bacteria
Description: partial 16S ribosomal RNA
Rfam family: Bacterial small subunit ribosomal RNA
Source: RNAcentral
CCUACGGGUGGCAGCAGUCGAGAAUCAUUCACAAUGGGGGAAACCCUGAUGGUGCGACGCCGCGUGGAGGAAUGAAGGUCUUCGGAUUGUAAAACCCUGUCAUGUGGGAGCAAAUUAAAAAGAUAGUACCACAAGAGGAAGAGACGGCUAACUCUGUGCCAGCAGCCGCGGUAAUACAGAGGUCUCAAGCGUUGAUCGGAACCACUGGGCGUAAGGCGUGCGUAGGCUGUUUCGUAAGUCGUGUGUGAAAGGCGCGGGCUCAACCCGCGGACGGCACAUGAUACUGCGAGACUAGAGUAAUGGAGGGGGAACCGGAAUUCUCGGUGUAGCAGUGAAAUGCGUAGAUAUCGAGAGGAACACUCGUGGCGAAGGCGGGUUCCUGGACAUUAACUGACGCUGAGGCACGAAGGCCAGGGGAGCGAAAGGGAUUAGAUACCCGGGUAGUC